CUGCUUCAGUUAUUUUUAGAUUUUAUUUUUCAGUCAAAAAGCUGAAAUGUAAUUAAAAGACGAGAAGACCCUAUAGAUCUUGAUAAUUAAUUAGUUAAAUUUAUUUAGGAAAUUUAAAAUUUAAUUAAGUAAAUUAUUUUAUUGGGGUGAUAAUAAGAUUUAAUAAACUCUUAUAUUUUAAAUACAUAAAUUAAUGAAUUAUUGAUCCAUUAAUAGUGAUUAUUAGAUUAAGUUACCUUAGGGAUAACAG
Molecule: ribosomal RNA, 250 nt
Filed under: Conops sp. JFC-2009
Lineage: Eukaryota; Metazoa; Arthropoda; Insecta; Diptera; Conopidae
Description: partial 16S ribosomal RNA
Source: RNAcentral